GCCCCGGUGGCGGAACUGGCAUACGCGCACGCUUGAGGUGUGUGUCCCUCACGGGUCGGAGGUUCGAAUCCUCUCCGGGGCA
Molecule: transfer RNA, 82 nt
Filed under: Anaerolineaceae bacterium
Lineage: Bacteria; Bacillati; Chloroflexota; Anaerolineae; Anaerolineales; Anaerolineaceae
Also listed under: 1 other name
Description: tRNA-Leu
Rfam family: tRNA
About the family: Transfer RNA (tRNA) molecules are approximately 80 nucleotides in length. Their secondary structure includes four short double-helical elements and three loops (D, anti-codon, and T loops).
Source: RNAcentral